RNAcentral lists this ribosomal RNA (245 nucleotides) under uncultured bacterium. RNAcentral's name for it is "partial 16S ribosomal RNA". It matches the Rfam family "Bacterial small subunit ribosomal RNA", at positions 109 to 353 of the family's 1533-position model. The record is from RNAcentral.
AGUAAUGUCUGGGAAACUGCCUGAUGGAGGGGGAGUAACUACUGGAAACGGUAGCUAAUACCGCAUAACGUCGCAAGACCAAAGAGGGGGACCUUCGGGCCUCUUGCCAUCAGAUGUGCCCAGAUGGGAUUAGCUAGUAGGUGGGGUAACGGCUCACCUAGGCGACGAUCCCUAGCUGGUCUGAGAGGAUGACCAGCCACACUGGAACUGAGACACGGUCCAGACUCCUACGGGGAGGCAGCAUG